Molecule: transfer RNA, 72 nt
Filed under: Stegodyphus mimosarum
Lineage: Eukaryota; Metazoa; Arthropoda; Arachnida; Araneae; Eresidae
Rfam family: tRNA
About the family: Transfer RNA (tRNA) molecules are approximately 80 nucleotides in length. Their secondary structure includes four short double-helical elements and three loops (D, anti-codon, and T loops).
Source: Rfam by way of RNAcentral
GCCUUCGUGGUACAGUGUCAACACGCUCGACGCGUAAUCGAGAGGUCCAAGGUUCGAUUCCUGGCAAAGGCG